Non-coding RNA from Pan troglodytes (chimpanzee), 489 nucleotides. Lineage: Eukaryota; Metazoa; Chordata; Mammalia; Primates; Hominidae. The record is from the annotation of a RefSeq genome assembly.
GGGGCUGUGUCCACCAUGGCCUGGACUCUUCUCCUUCUCGUGCUCCUCUCUCACUGCACAGGUUCCCUCUCCCAGCCUGUGCUGACUCAGCCAUCUUCCCAUUCUGCAUCUUCUGGAGCAUCAGUCAGACUCACCUGCACGCUGAGCAGUGGCUUCAGUGUUGGGGACUUCUGGAUAAGGUGGUACCAACAAAAGCCAGGGAACCCUCCCCGGUAUCUCCUGUACUACCACUCAGACUCCAAUAAGGGCCAAGGCUCUGGAGUUCCCAGCCGCUUCUCUGGAUCCAAUGAUGCAUCAGCCAAUGCAGGGAUUCUGCGUGUCUCUGGGCUCCAGCCUGAGGAUGAGGCUUACUAUUACUGUGGUACAUGGCACAGCAACUCUAAGACUCACACAGUGCUCCAGACCCAUGAGGAACAAAACACUGCAAAGUCAUUCGCCAGGAUCUCCUGCAGACUGGCAUUCAGUGAUGGAGAACAGACUCCUAGGUGA